GGUCUGUAGCUCAGUGGCAGAGCACUUGCCUAGCAUGUGUGAGGCACUGGGAUUGAUCCUCAGCACCA
RNAcentral lists this transfer RNA (68 nucleotides) under Marmota monax (woodchuck). RNAcentral's name for it is "tRNA.Ala". The record is from RNAcentral. Lineage: Eukaryota; Metazoa; Chordata; Mammalia; Rodentia; Sciuridae.